CCUCCAGCAGCCUGUAAUUCCAGGGAGGCAAGCUGUUUUGGUCACUGCUGUAUUCCCUGCACCCAGUGUGGUCUGCCACACAGAAGGGACCUGAAAAUAUUUAUGGGCUGGAGGAAGUUCAGAGAGGCUACUCCCUUAGCUGUCCUAGUUACAACAGGGACAGGAACUGGAUCAUUGUGCUGAGGAUGAAAAGCACCCGGUGCUUAACCUUGUUCAUGGAAUCCUGCCUCCAGAUGACAGGUGCAAAGGGAAGCCUCCAGGGCCUGAGGUCUAAGGAAUCAUCACAGGCAGCAGAAGGCAUGUUGAACAGGACUUGAGGUCACAGAACUCCACUCCUCAUCUCAGGACCUCAAAGUGCCUCAGCUACAAAGUGGGCAUCCCAGCCUGGCUCCUGGGACUUUGAGAAGCCAAUGAGCAUGGAAGAGCCAGAAGGGAAGGAGCCGUUGCCCCUGGAGGCAGCUCUCGUUUUCAAGGGCACUGCCGGCCCCAGUACAUACCCCCCCACAGCCAAGCUGAGGCCUCCCUGCACUCCCACUCCCAGCCCUGGGCCCUGUAAGCUCUGUUCACUCCUGAACAGCCCUCUUUCGUCCUGUACCUGCAAUGCCUCUCGUGGGGGAGAUGACACAGCUCUCUGCAAUGAACUGGCUUGAUCAAAUGUCAGUGGUUUGGAUAAAGACUCAAGUAGCCUUCAAUGUGUGCAUUUGGGAAAUCAAUGCGAACUCAAGGUCAUGGAGGCGGGGGUGGUGUGGGGAGCAGCCUGAGCAUUUGGGAUGGCUUGAAAGAGGAUCAUGAACAUGAAAUUGGGCCUCUCAGAUACUGGAUACCCAACUAUAUCCAGCCUUCCUGGCCUCUGAGGAAUACUGCUGUCUACAGACAAAGUCCACCUGCUCCCAGCACCCUCCCUGCCAACCAUGUCUAAAUAAAUUGUCAAAAGAUAGUCUCUGGUGCGUGCG
This is a non-coding RNA of Manis javanica (Malayan pangolin), 953 nucleotides long. NCBI's taxonomy places the organism in Eukaryota, Metazoa, Chordata, Mammalia, Pholidota, Manidae. The record is from RefSeq and is a predicted model, not a curated record.